UACGGAGGAUGCGAGCGUUAUCCGGAUUUAUUGGGUUUAAAGGGUGCGUAGGCGGUUUUAUAAGUUAGAGGUGAAAUCUCGGGGCUCAACUCCGAAAUUGCCUCUAAUACUGUAGGACUAGAGAGUAGUUGCGGUAGGCGGAAUGUAUGGUGUAGCGGUGAAAUGCUUAGAUAUCACGAAGAACCCCGAUUGCGAAGGCAGCCUGCCGCAGCGUUACUGACGCUGAAGCUCGAAAGCGCGGGUAUCGAACAGG
This 253-nucleotide ribosomal RNA is filed under the name uncultured Rikenellaceae bacterium. RNAcentral describes it as "partial 16S ribosomal RNA". It matches the Rfam family "Bacterial small subunit ribosomal RNA", at positions 524 to 776 of the family's 1533-position model. The record is from RNAcentral. Lineage: Bacteria; Pseudomonadati; Bacteroidota; Bacteroidia; Bacteroidales; Rikenellaceae.